CCUACGAGUGGCAGCAGUGAGGAAUAUUGGUCAAUGGACGGAAGUCUGAACCAGCCAUGCCGCGUGCAGGAAGACGGCUCUAUGAGUUGUAAACUGCUUUUGUACAAGGGUAAACCUGAAUAAGUGUAUUAAGCUGAAAGGACUGGACGAAUAAGGAUCGGCGACGUCCGUGCCAGCAGCCGCGGUAAUACGGAGGAACCAAGCGUUAUCCGGAUUUAUUGGGUUUAAAGGGUGCGUAGGCGGAUUGAUAAGUUAGAGGUGAAAUGUCCGAGCUUAACUCGGGAACUGCGUCUAAUAAUGUUGAUCUAGAGAGUAGAUGCGGUAGGCGGAAUGUAUGGUGUAGCGGUGAAAUGCUUAGAGAUCAUACAGAACACCGAUUGCGAAGGCAGCUUACCAAUCUAUAUCUGACGUUGAGGCACGAAAGCGUGGGGAGCAAACAGGAUUAGAUACCCUGGUAGUC
This 460-nucleotide ribosomal RNA is filed under the name uncultured bacterium. RNAcentral describes it as "partial 16S ribosomal RNA". It matches the Rfam family "Bacterial small subunit ribosomal RNA", at positions 338 to 795 of the family's 1533-position model. The record is from RNAcentral.